AGCCGCGAAGGUGAAUGGCAGAAUCAGUGUAUCCGAAACGACAAGGAGCUGGUCCACGUGCAGCUUCGAAAACUUAAGAUCCAGAGGACCCAGGCCCGGACCGAAUCUCAGGAGAACUUAGUCAAACUCACCCUGGAAAGUAACGCCACCCUCAAGGCCCUGAAAAAGGUUGUGGAGAAGGUAAAGGAUAGAGAGAGGUCAAUGGGGACAAAACCAAGAAACCUGGCUGGUGAAAACCGGAUUCAGGGAGGCGUGGGGGCGGGGCCUCGUGUUGGGCGGGGCCUACCCCUCUCCCUCAUACAGUGGACACUCUUUUAUCUUUCUCCACCCUCUCUUUUAAAUGAAGUCAUUGGGAUUUUCGGCUUCCUGAGUACCCCCUCUCUGCUUCGCAGAGGGCCUUUUUCUCCGUGUCUGCUGCACGUUUGUGGUUUCCUCAAUAAACACCGUCUGUCAUCU
This 456-nucleotide long non-coding RNA is filed under the name Rattus norvegicus (Norway rat). RNAcentral describes it as "long non-coding RNA NONRATT030704". Lineage: Eukaryota; Metazoa; Chordata; Mammalia; Rodentia; Muridae. The record is from RNAcentral.